CACGUAGUUAGCCGGGGCUUCUUAGUCAGGUACCGUCAUUUUCUUUCCUGCUGAUAGAGCUUUACGUACCGAAAUACUUCUUCACUCACGCGGCGUCGCUGGAUCAGGGUUUCCCCCAUUGUCCAAUAUUCCCCACUGCUGCCUCCCGUAGGAGUUUGGGCCGUGUCUCAGUCCCAAUGUGGCCGUCCUACCCUCUCAGGCCGGCCACUGAUCGUCGCCUUGGUGGGCCGUUACCCCGCCAACCAGCCUAAUCAGACGCGGGCCCAUCCCAUACCACCGGAGUUUUCACACACCUUCAUGCGAAGCUGUGCGCUUAUGCGGUUUUAGCACCUGUUUCCAGGUGUUAUCCCCCGGUAUUCGGGGCAGGUUGCCCACGCGUUACUCACCCGUCCGCCACUACUACACUUCCGUUAGUCAAUGCAAGCAUCUCCUGCUUCUGUGUAAGUCCGUUCGACUUUGCAUGUGUUAGGCACGCGCCAGCGCUCAUCCUGAGCCAGGAUCCAAAUCCUCUGUACG
Molecule: ribosomal RNA, 516 nt
Filed under: uncultured Lachnospiraceae bacterium
Lineage: Bacteria; Bacillati; Bacillota; Clostridia; Lachnospirales; Lachnospiraceae
Description: partial 16S ribosomal RNA
Source: RNAcentral